AAUGCUUGGGAACUUGCCUUUGCGAGGGGGAUAACAGUUGGAAACGACUGCUAAUACCGCAUAAUGUCUUCGGACCAAACGGGGCUUCGGCUCCGGCGCAAAGAGAGGCCCAAGUGAGAUUAGCUAGUUGGUAAGGUAAAGGCUUACCAAGGCGACGAUCUCUAGCUGUUCUGAGAGGAAGAUCAGCCACACUGGGACUGAGACACGGCCCAGACUCCUACGGGAGGCAGCAGUGGGGAAUAUUGCACAAUGGGGGAAACCCUGAUGCAGCCAUGCCGCGUGUGUGAAGAAGGCCUUCGGGUUGUAAAGCACUUUCAGUUGUGAGGAAAAGUUAGUAGUUAAUACCUGCUAGCCGUGACGUUAACAACAGAAGAAGCACCGGCUAACUCCGUGCCAGCAGCCGCGGUAAUACGGAGGGCGCGAGCGUUAAUCGGAAUUACUGGGCGUAAAGCGCACGCAGGCGGUUUGUUAAGCUAGAUGUGAAAGCCCCGGGCUCAACCUGGGAUGGUCAUUUAGAACUGGCAGACUAGAGUCUUGGAGAGGGGAGUGGAAUUCCAGGUGUAGCGGUGAAAUGCGUAGAUAUCUGGAGGAACAUCAGUGGCGAAGGCGACUCCCUGGCCAAAGACUGACGCUCAUGUGCGAAAGUGUGGGUAGCGAACAGGAUUAGAUACCCUGGUAGUCCACACCGUAAACGCUGUCUACUAGCUGUGUGUGUCUUUAAGACGUGCGUAGCGAAGCUAACGCGCUAAGUAGACCGCCUGGGGGAGUACGGCCCGCAAGGUUAAAAC
This 788-nucleotide ribosomal RNA is filed under the name uncultured Alteromonas sp. Its description in RNAcentral is "bacterial SSU rRNA". It matches the Rfam family "Bacterial small subunit ribosomal RNA", at positions 112 to 900 of the family's 1533-position model. The record is from RNAcentral. Lineage: Bacteria; Pseudomonadati; Pseudomonadota; Gammaproteobacteria; Alteromonadales; Alteromonadaceae.